CUGGUUCAUGGACCCAGACUCCCAGGCCCCUCUCUGCAGAGCUGCUCUCCAGCAGGUCAGCUCCCAGCCUGCAUUGGUCCUUGGGGUUAUUUCUCCUGAGGUGCAGGACCCUGCACUUACCUUGUUGAACUUCAUGAAGUUCCUCUCAGCCC
This is a long non-coding RNA of Oxyura jamaicensis (ruddy duck), 152 nucleotides long. RefSeq lists it as uncharacterized. NCBI's taxonomy places the organism in Eukaryota, Metazoa, Chordata, Aves, Anseriformes, Anatidae. The transcript is spliced from 3 exons. The record is from RefSeq and is a predicted model, not a curated record.